RNAcentral lists this long non-coding RNA (286 nucleotides) under Homo sapiens (human). Its description in RNAcentral is "HSALNT0228362". The record is from RNAcentral. Lineage: Eukaryota; Metazoa; Chordata; Mammalia; Primates; Hominidae.
UGGAAGGGGAGUGAGCAGACACACUCAGGAGGUGUCUUGAGAUUAUCAUCCGCUGAGGGUGGAGCUGAGGGUGGAAGGGGAGUGAGCAGACACUCGGGAGGUGUCUUGAGAUUAUCAUCCGCUGAGGGUGGAAGGGGAUAGAGCACACACUCGGAAGGUGUCUUGAGGCUCAGGGAGUUAUCAAUUAUAGAAUGUUGUUGAGUUGGAGGAGGUGUCUUGAGAUUAUCAUCCGCUGAGGGUGGAAGGGGAUAGAGCAGGCACUCGGCAGGUGUCUUGAGAUUAUCAU